GAGUUUGAUCCUGGCUCAGGAUGAACGCUGGCGGCGUGCUUAACACAUGCAAGUCGAACGAAACACCUUAUUUGAUUUUCUUCGGAACUGAAGAUUUGGUGAUUGAGUGGCGGACGGGUGAGUAACGCGUGGGUAACCUGCCCUGUACAGGGGGAUAACAGUCAGAAAUGACUGCUAAUACCGCAUAAGACCACAGCACCGCAUGGUGCAGGGGUAAAAACUCCGGUGGUACAGGAUGGACCCGCGUCUGAUUAGCUGGUUGGCAGGGUAACGGCCUACCAAGGCAACGAUCAGUAGCCGGUCUGAGAGGAUGAACGGCCACAUUGGAACUGAGACACGGUCCAAACUCCUACGGGAGGCAGCAGUGGGGAAUAUUGCACAAUGGGGGAAACCCUGAUGCAGCAACGCCGCGUGAGUGAAGAAGUAUUUCGGUAUGUAAAGCUCUAUCAGCAGGGAAGAUAAUGACGGUACCUGACUAAGAAGCUCCGGCUAAAUACGUGCCAGCCGCCGCGGUAAUUC
RNAcentral lists this ribosomal RNA (519 nucleotides) under uncultured bacterium. RNAcentral's name for it is "bacterial SSU rRNA". It matches the Rfam family "Bacterial small subunit ribosomal RNA", at positions 9 to 526 of the family's 1533-position model. The record is from RNAcentral.